UAUUUUGGAAAAUGGGGAAAACCCUGAUCCAUCCAUCCCGCGUGUAUGAUGAAGGCUUUCGGGUUGUAUCGUAUUUUUUGCAGCGAAGCAAAGGUAUCUCCUACUACGAGAUACUGUUGACGGUAUUUGCAGAAUAAGCACCGGCGAACUACGUGCCAGGAGCCGUGGUAAUACGUAGGGUGCAAGCGUUAAUCGGAAUUAUUGGGCGUAAAGCGUGUGUAGGCGGUUCGAAAAGAAAGAUGUAAAAUCCCAGGGCUCAACCUUGGAACUGCAUUUUUAACUGCCGAGCUAGAGUAUGUCAGAGGGGGGUAGAAUUCCACGUGUAGCAGUGAAAUGCGUAGAUAUGUAGAGGAGUACCGAUGGCGAAGGCAGCCCCCUGGGAUAAUACUGACGCUCAGACACGAAAGCGUGGGGAGCAAACA
RNAcentral lists this ribosomal RNA (422 nucleotides) under uncultured bacterium. RNAcentral describes it as "partial 16S ribosomal RNA". It matches the Rfam family "Bacterial small subunit ribosomal RNA", at positions 359 to 774 of the family's 1533-position model. The record is from RNAcentral.